RNAcentral lists this ribosomal RNA (320 nucleotides) under uncultured Eocercomonas. Its description in RNAcentral is "SSU rRNA". The stretch from base 109 to 320 matches the Rfam family "Eukaryotic small subunit ribosomal RNA", at positions 742 to 955 of the family's 1831-position model. The record is from RNAcentral. Lineage: Eukaryota; Cercozoa; Cercomonadida; Cercomonadidae.
GAUUUCUGGCUUGGUGCGCGCUGUCCGCCGAGGUUUCUCGGUGUGUACAGAAGUGCGCCUGCCAUCCUUCUGGAAAAUGAUCCUACCCUUCACUGGGCCGGGGUCACUUCUGGAUCUUUUACUUUGAAAAAAUUAGAGUGUUCAAAGCAGGCUUGCGCUAUGAAUACAUUAGCAUGGAAUAAUAAUUUAGGACUUUUGUCCUAUUUUGUUGGUUUCUAGGACGAAAGUAAUGAUUGAUAGGGAUAGUUGGGGGUGCUAGUAUUCAGCGGCCAGAGGUGAAAUUCUCGGAUUCGCUGAAGACUAACUUAUGCGAAAGCAUU